Molecule: ribosomal RNA, 387 nt
Filed under: Triticum aestivum (bread wheat)
Lineage: Eukaryota; Viridiplantae; Streptophyta; Magnoliopsida; Poales; Poaceae
Description: partial small subunit ribosomal RNA
Source: RNAcentral
AUGCUCAUGAAAUGGUACGAACACGUUAUGACACCAAAUCAGCAAGCCACACAAACAUACCAAUGGAACUGCAGCAUGUCCAAGGCAGCGACGUCCAUCCUCUUCCGGGACCUGUUGAUGUUCUCCUCAACGAAGCUUCUUGUCAUCUUAACCGGCGGCGGCACCCACUUUGUAAGCCUGCACAAGCAGCUCAGCAACAGUCAGAGAACAGCAGCAGGAAAAUGUGCUACGGCCGCGUCUCCAUGGCACCAAAUCGCUCGCUCACCCCCUGACUUCUUCCAGCAUCUUGGGCGGGCGCUCGCGCCGGACUUUGUUGAUGAACAUGCCGUACAGAUCCUCCGCCGGUCCAUCUGCCAAGACAACAAUCAUGUCUUCAUACCAAGUUGA